Molecule: transfer RNA, 74 nt
Filed under: Blautia glucerasea
Lineage: Bacteria; Bacillati; Bacillota; Clostridia; Lachnospirales; Lachnospiraceae
Also listed under: 3 other names
Description: tRNA-Ile
Rfam family: tRNA
About the family: Transfer RNA (tRNA) molecules are approximately 80 nucleotides in length.
Source: RNAcentral
GGACCUUUAGCUCAGUUGGUUAGAGCGUCCGGCUCAUAACCGGGAUGUCGAUGGAUCGUACCCAUCAAGGUCCA